CCCUUAGAUGUCCUGGGCCGCACGCGUGCUACACUGAUGCAUCCAGCGAGUACUCCCAGCUCCGCGAGGCUGCUGGUAAUCAGCAAUAUGCGUCGUGAUGGGGAUAGAUCUUUGGAAUUAUAGAUCUUGAACGAGGAAUUCCUAGUAAACGCAAGUCAUCACCUUGCGUUGACUAAGUCCCUGCCCUUUGUACACACCGCCCGUCGCUCCUACCGAUUUCGAGUGAUCCGGUGAAUCAUUCGGACCGCGUGGGCUUGACCUAACGUGGAAAGUCUAGUAAACCAUAUCACUUAGAGGAAGGAGAAGUCGUAACA
This 314-nucleotide ribosomal RNA is filed under the name uncultured eukaryote. RNAcentral's name for it is "partial 18S ribosomal RNA". It matches the Rfam family "Eukaryotic small subunit ribosomal RNA", at positions 1470 to 1796 of the family's 1831-position model. The record is from RNAcentral.